AUGGACAAGAAUAUGCAGCGGGAGCAAGAGGUGAUGGACAAGAAUCUGAAGCAGGAGCGGGCAACCGUGGACCGCAUGAGGAAGGAGGAGCGUGCAGCCAUGGAACAGAUGAUGAAAGAGGAGCGUGCAGCCAUGGAUCAGAGGUUGAAGCAUUUCCAUGACGAUAUGGACCUAAGGUUGAAGCAGGAGCGCAAGAACUUGGAUCACGCUAUGCAGCUCGAGCGUGGCAGGAUGGAAUUCAAUAUCAUGCAGGCGCGUGCGAACAUGGACCUUAUGUUGAAGCAGGAGCGUAAUGACACGAAUCACAAGACCAAGAUGGAGGAAAUCCGCAUGGAAGGGAAUAUAAUGCAAGACCGCAUUCUACAACUCGAGCGUGGUAAGAUGGGCUUCAAUAACAUCCAGACGCGUGUGGGCAUGGACCUUAACUUACCACAUGACCGCAAUGAUCUGGAUUACAAGGCCAAGAUGGAGGAGACCCGCAUGAAAGGAAAUACGAUACAGGACCAUGCUAAUACAUGCCUGAAGGCUCAGCAGGAUGACAAGGCCAAGAUGGAGGAGAUCCGCAUGAAAGGGGGUAUGAUGCAAGACCAUGCUAGUAUAGGCACGAAGCAUGCUCAGGAACAACAAGACAUCCCUACACCAGAGCAAUAUGUCUCAUCAGUACCUCUACAUGUAGAACAAGAGAUCUGUACACCAGAGCAAUCUGUCUCAUCCUACGUAGUUGUAAUGCAAUUUAUUGUUCAUGUGGACGAAGAACUUUCUCAUGUUCCUGAAGCAUACCACAACAAGAAACCUGGUAUGAUGACAGUACUUGAACCUGCCAAGGUGGACUGGCAGAUAAUGGUGAAAAAUUUGCGUUACCAUGGGUACAAAGGGGAAGCAGAUUUGUACUACAUCAAGCCUGGGUGCGUACCACCAGAAGGAAUGGUAAAGAUGUCAGGCCAGCAUGACGUCGAUGAAAUGUUGCACACUUUAGAAGGGAUAAAGAAAUGUCAUUUUUACAUUGUGAAGAAUUGUGCAUUCCCAGAUUAUAGCGACGAUGACAUGUCUGAACAGGACAUGUCCGAAGAAGACAUAUAUGCAUGUGGGUACAUGGAUAUCGGCAAGAGGGACAUGGGAGAAUAUGGGUCAUCGCCCAAAAGGAAGAAAAUUGCAGAUAACAAUACGAAGAAAGCAUUGGAUUUCGGCAGCAGUGAUGAGCCUCUUCAGUAG
This 1212-nucleotide ribosomal RNA is filed under the name Triticum aestivum (bread wheat). Its description in RNAcentral is "partial small subunit ribosomal RNA". The record is from RNAcentral. Lineage: Eukaryota; Viridiplantae; Streptophyta; Magnoliopsida; Poales; Poaceae.